UCGAGAAUCUUCCGCAAUGGGCGAAAGCCUGACGGAGCGACGCCGCGUGCGGGAUGAAGGCCUUCGGGUUGUAAACCGCUGUCGAAGGGGAGCAAAUUUGAGCGAUCCUUGGAGGAAGCACAGGCUAAAUUCGUGCCAGCAGCCGCGGUAAUACGAAUUGUGCGAACGUUAUUCGGAAUCACUGGGCUUAAAGGGUGCGUAGGCGGUCAUGUAGGUCUGAUGUGAAAUCCCACGGCUCAACCGUGGAACUGCGUUGGAAACCCCAUGGCUGGAGUAGGACAGAGGUGAGCGGAACAGAUGGUGGAGCGGUGAAAUGCGUUGAUAUCAUCUGGAACACCGGUGGCGAAAGCGGCUCACUGGGUCCUAACUGACGCUGAUGCACGAAAGCCAGGGGAGCAAACGGGAUUAGAUACCCAUGUAGUCCCUGAGCGGGCUGGCAAGGCGCAU
Molecule: ribosomal RNA, 447 nt
Filed under: uncultured bacterium
Lineage: Bacteria
Description: bacterial SSU rRNA
Rfam family: Bacterial small subunit ribosomal RNA
Source: RNAcentral